UGCAAGUCGUACGAUUAAAGCUCUCUUCGGAGAGUGUAUAGAGUGGCGCACGGGUGAGUAACACGUAAGUAAUCUACCUUCGAGUGGGGAAUAACAGUCGGAAACGACUGCUAAUACCGCAUAAUGCAGCGGCACCUAAUGGUGACAGUUGUUAAAGCAUUUAUGUGCUUGAAGAGGAGCUUGCGGCAGAUUAGCUAGUUGGUAAGGUAAUGGCUUACCAAGGCAACGAUCUGUAGCCGACCUGAGAGGGUGGUCGGUCACACUGACACUGAGUAACGGGUCAGACUCCUACGGGAGGCAGCAGUCGGGAAUUUUGGGCAAUGGGCGAAAGCCUGACCCAGCAACGCCGCGUGAAGGAUGAAGUAUUUCGGUAUGUAAACUUCGUAAAAAUGGGAAGAAUAAAUGACGGUACCAUUUGUAAGGUCCGGCUAACUACGUGCCAGCAGCCGCGGUAAUACGUAGGGACCAAGCGUUGUUCGGAUUUACUGGGCGUAAAGGGUGCGUAGGCGGCGUGUCAAGUCAGUUGUGAAAUCUCUGAGCUUAACUCAGAACGGUCAACUGAUACUGUCAUGCUAGAGUGCAGAAAGGGCAAUCGGAAUUCUUGGUGUAGCGGUGAAAUGCGUAGAUAUCAAGAGGAACACCUGAGGCGAAGGCGGGUUGCUUGGCUGACACUGACGCUGAGGCACGAAAGCUAGGGUAGCAAACGGGAUUAGAUACCCCGGUAGUCCUAGCCCUAAACGAUGAAUGCUUGGUGUCUGGAGUUUCAAUUCUCCGGGUGCCGUCGCUAACGUUUUAAGCAUUCCGCCUGGGGGAGUACGUACGCAAGUAUGAAACUCAAAGGAAUUGACGGGGACCCGCACAAGCGGUGGAGCAUGUGGUUUAAUUCGACGCAACGCGAGAACCUUACCUGGACUAGAAUGUGAGG
RNAcentral lists this ribosomal RNA (925 nucleotides) under uncultured Acidobacteriaceae bacterium. RNAcentral's name for it is "bacterial SSU rRNA". It matches the Rfam family "Bacterial small subunit ribosomal RNA", at positions 56 to 992 of the family's 1533-position model. Lineage: Bacteria; Pseudomonadati; Acidobacteriota; Terriglobia; Terriglobales; Acidobacteriaceae. The record is from RNAcentral.